Anguilla rostrata (American eel) is the source of this 955-nucleotide long non-coding RNA. RefSeq lists it as uncharacterized. The record is from RefSeq and is a predicted model, not a curated record. The transcript is spliced from 2 exons. Lineage: Eukaryota; Metazoa; Chordata; Actinopteri; Anguilliformes; Anguillidae.
GUUUGAUGACAGAGGAGAGAUUCAUUGCAUAAUAACCAUAUUCAACAAAAACCUUGCCAACACAUGACUAACUUAACCAUCUAUUUAUUUUUGUGUGUUUUUUUUUAGGCCUAUUGAUAUAGUUAAUGUCAUCUUGUGAAAGUAAGCAAUGAAAAAUAAUAUUUUCCAAUUAUGAGAAGCUGAAUUAUGAAAGUGGCACCCACAAUGCACCGGGCUUUUUAGUUCUAUUGCCAUGGAGACCAGAUGAAGGGCUGGAUAAGUGGCGAUGCAGGCGGCGAACGCUAAUGAAAAGCUCAGAUGUUGUCUACAAAAACAGCCUGUCCUUUGAUAUUUUCCUUUGUUUUUUUUCCACUGCACUUGCCUCAGUAAGCACAGGUCAUUAAAUACAUAACAUGACCAUCUGCCUGUUUGCUCUUCAGCCAUUCAUAAAAAUGUACACUUGGGUUUGUCAGCUGUAAAUUCUCUGACCGAAUAACCUACUUGCCAUUUUUUUUGUUAUGAAACAUUCAAUUUGUGAAAGGUAACGAGAAAAUAUGAACUUGAGAAGUAAAGCAUGUUAACAAUUGAUCUUCAAGUUCAUGAAAAAUAUUUGCUAGACUUUGUAUGGUCAGAUAUUAAAUGUAAAAGGAAUCUGUUAAUGGAAAUGGGGAUCUUCCUUCUCUGUUCUUCUCAAUUUGCUCUAGAGAAGCAAACGAGUUAUUGUACAGCAGUUUUUAUACAUAGUUUCUUUCAUCUGGAGAAAUACUAAGAACUACUGGAAUAAAUAUGUUGAAUUUUAAUCUGCCAUAUUUACACAAAGUUUAAAGAUCUAGCAUUAUCCCUGCCCUUUCUUUUGACCAGCAGACACAAGGAACUGUCACCAUUGCAGAAAAAUUACCCAAUGUAGGGUUUGGCAACCAUGGACCAACCCAGUCAACAAGGAAAUAAAGUGUAAAAGAAAAUCUUUCUGAUGAGA